This 73-nucleotide transfer RNA is filed under the name Camelus bactrianus (Bactrian camel). It matches the Rfam family "tRNA". Rfam says of the family: Transfer RNA (tRNA) molecules are approximately 80 nucleotides in length. Their secondary structure includes four short double-helical elements and three loops (D, anti-codon, and T loops). Further hydrogen bonds mediate the characteristic L-shaped molecular structure. tRNAs have two regions of fundamental functional importance: the anti-codon, which is responsible for specific mRNA codon recognition, and the 3' end, to which the tRNAs corresponding amino acid is attached (by aminoacyl-tRNA synthetases). tRNAs cope with the degeneracy of the genetic code in two manners: having more than one tRNA (with a specific anti-codon) for a particular amino acid; and 'wobble' base-pairing, i.e. permitting non-standard base-pairing at the 3rd anti-codon position. RNAcentral also lists the same sequence under 2 other names. Lineage: Eukaryota; Metazoa; Chordata; Mammalia; Artiodactyla; Camelidae. The record is from Rfam by way of RNAcentral.
GAGGGUAUAGCUCAAGUGGUAGAGCGCAUGCUCAGCAUGCACAAGGUCCUGGGUUCAAUCCCCAGCACCUCUU